UGAGAAACGGGCAUUUUCUUCAGCAAUCUUAAGAAUUUAAAAGCUAGGAUCUUGGACUGUGAAGAAGGGCUAAAAAGUUCUUCAGACAUGGCAGUGGUGGAAUGGCAUGGUAUAGCCCAAUCUCACCAGACCUCGGGUGAGAUGGGAGAGCAUCAAGGAAAACCGAGGUUGCUA
Long non-coding RNA from Eublepharis macularius, 174 nucleotides. RefSeq lists it as uncharacterized. The record is from RefSeq and is a predicted model, not a curated record. The transcript is spliced from 3 exons. Lineage: Eukaryota; Metazoa; Chordata; Lepidosauria; Squamata; Eublepharidae.